GUGAACGCUGGCGGCAUGUCUAAGGCAUGCAAGUCGAAUGCUGAGCUUGCUCAGCAUGGCAAACGGGAGAGUAACACAUUGGUAAUCUACCUUGAUCUUGGGGAUAAUCCGAAGAAAUUUGGAAUAAUACCCAAUAGUCAUGGGGGGACAUAAGUCAUUCCCAUGUAAAGUUCCGGCGGAUCAAGAGGAGCCUAUGGCCUAUCAGCUUGUUGGUAGGGUAACGGCCUACCAAGGCAAUGACGGGUAGGGGACCUGAGAGGGUGACCCCCCACAAUGGCACUGAAACACGGGCCAUACACCUACGGGUGGCAGCAGUAGGGAAUAUUGGACAAUGGGCGAAAGCCUGAUCCAGCAACGCCGCGUGCACGAUGACGGCCUUCGGGUUGUAAAGUGCUUUUAGAGGAGAUGAGAAAGGACAGUAUCCUCUGAAUAAGCCUCGGCGAACUACGUGCCAGCAGCCGCGGUAAAACGUAGGAGGCAAGCGUUAUCCGGAUUUAUUGGGCGUAAAGCGCGUGCAGGCGGUUUGACAAGUUGGAUGUGAAAGCUCCCGGCUUAACUGGGAGAGGUCGUUCAAAACUGUCAGACUAGAGAAUGGGAGAGGGAGGUGGAAUUCCGGGUGUAGUGGUGAAAUGCGUAGAUAUCCGGAGGAACACCAGUGGCGAAAGCGGCCUCCUAGACCAUUUCUGACGCUAAGACGCGAAAGCUAGGGUAGCAAACGGGAUUAGAGACCCCGGUAGUCCUAGCCGUAAACGAUGUAGACUUGGUGUUGGCGGAGUUAAAUCUGUCAGUACCGUAGCUAACGCGAUAAGUCUACCGCCUGGGGACUACGAUCGCAAGAUUAAAACUCAAAGGAAUUGACGGGGACCCGCACAAGCAGCGGAGCGUGUGGUUUAAUUCGAUGCUACACGAAGAACCUUACCAGGGUUUGACAUGUAAGUGGUAGUGAUCCGAAAGGUGAACGACCCCUCGGGGAGCUUACACAGGUGCUGCAUGGCUGUCGUCAGCUCGUGUCGUGAGAUGUUCGGUUAAGUCCGCUAACGAGCGCAACCCUCACUGUGUGUUAUAUGUGUCACACGGGACUGCCGGUUUUAAGCCGGAGGAAGGCGAGGAUGACGUCAAGUCAGCAUGGCCUUUAUAUCCUGGGCUACACACACGCUACAAUGGUCGGUACAAUAGGUUGCCAAGCCGCGAGGCGGAGCCAAUCCUCAAAGCCGGCCUCAGUUCAGAUUGUAGGCUGCAACUCGCCUGCAUGAAGCUGGAGUUGCUAGUAACCGCAGGUCAGCUAUACUGCGGUGAAUACGUUCCCGGGUCUUGUACACACCGCCCGUCAAGGG
Molecule: ribosomal RNA, 1334 nt
Filed under: uncultured Chloroflexota bacterium
Lineage: Bacteria; Bacillati; Chloroflexota
Description: bacterial SSU rRNA
Rfam family: Bacterial small subunit ribosomal RNA
Source: RNAcentral